UUUUAUCGCCAGGGCCGUGAGUUUCCACCCACGCCGCCGCCAAUACGUCGUUUCCGAGGGCAUCCUUGGCGACACUUCCACCACCGGCACCACCGGAACUGAGUAUAUAUGUAAUGGAAAUCGAUAAGGAAAGAAGAAUUGUUUUUGGAACGAAAUUAGAAUGAAAUAGAAGAAGAAGAAGAACCCGGGAGGGACUAUGAAGGCGACGUAAGGGACGAGCAUUCCGGCGGUUGGGAGCGAGAUAGCACCAAGCAAGAGAAGAUUCAUUAGCUGUCUCUUGUUCAUAUCCGGGACUCUAUCUGCAGUGAUGCUGGAAGCCAUGCAAGUGACUCUCCCUCCUUUCCCUUUUCCUAGCCCCAAACCUUUAGCCGGCUUGCUCAGCAAAGCCUUAGAUGGCGAGAACACCCCAUUUUUGCCGGAACAGAGCUGUACAUACCAAGGUUGAUUAACUAUGAAAUUAAGCAUAAACAAGCAAAAUAAUUAACUAUAAAAUUAACCAGCAAGUAACUGGUCUAUGCAUACCUG
This 525-nucleotide long non-coding RNA is filed under the name Zostera marina. RNAcentral's name for it is "long non-coding RNA (ZMAR_LNC003952)". Lineage: Eukaryota; Viridiplantae; Streptophyta; Magnoliopsida; Alismatales; Zosteraceae. The record is from RNAcentral.